This 1794-nucleotide long non-coding RNA is filed under the name Sus scrofa (pig). Its description in RNAcentral is "lncRNA (ENSSSCG00015079219.1)". Lineage: Eukaryota; Metazoa; Chordata; Mammalia; Artiodactyla; Suidae. The record is from RNAcentral.
UUUUUUUUUUUUGAGGGGUACCUGGAAGUAUAAAAGUUAGAAACAAAUAAGUAGAGUGUAAAAAAGACUCAGGAGUUCCCAUUGUGGCUCCGCAGGUUAAGAACCCAACAUAGUGUCUGAGAGGAUGUGAGUUCAAUCCCAGACUAAGGAUCCAGCGUUGCCACAAGUUGCAAUGUAUAGGCUACAGAUGCAGCUCAGAUCCGGAGUGGCUAUGGUGGUGACGCAGGCCGGCAGCUGCAGAGCUAACUGGAUCCCUAGGCUGGGAACCUCCAUGUGCCUCAGGUUUGGCCCUAAAAAGCAAACAAACAAAAAAAGGGAAAUAAUGCAGAAGCCAGAUGAAAAGGUUAAAGGGACAAAGCAAGCACACUGAAGAAAACGAAGGGCUAGGGGUAAACACGGUCACAGCAGGUACAAAGCAAACUCAACUGCACUUCAAAACCGAAAACAAGUAAGUGGAAAUGGACAGGAAAAGGCUCAAAGGAAGCCCCGGAAGGAGACUGGAAAUUCCUCACCAGCCCAGCCUGCCCUGGAGGUCCCGGGGGUCCAGAUGCAGCAGGCAGGGAGCCUGGGCUACGUUUGGAUCAGGCAAUGUUCUGCCCCCUCCAUCUGGGGCCAGGGAAAUGCCUGGCCAGGACCUCUGCCCAGACCAUGGUCAGUGGACAAGCUGUGGGCCACAGGCUGCACUGGGCCUUCUCCUGGCUCUGGAGGCUCGGGGACAUACCCCCAGGGCCCCUCAACCGCACCACCAGCUCCUGUGAACCUCCCCACCUCUCCAGCUCACUCACUGCCUUCAGGAGAACCCACAGGUGGGCUGAGGCAUGCCAUGGGGCCAGGGAAAAUGCUGCCCCGGGGUCUCCUUGGCAGACAAGGAGCCAACCUGUUUGAACAAGUUCAAGACCACCCAAGAGCACAAAAGCCAACAGCUCUGUGAUUCACCUGAGAUGCCGGAACAGCUCCUCACCUGCCAGACAAAGUAGUGACCAUGAGGUCCCAGGGACAACCCUCUCCAGGACACCUCCACUCCACUGGAGACUCACCCCAAGUGGUCAGCUGUGUAUGAAAUGAUUUGACUGGCUAUUUCCAGUACCAACAGUGGGGAAAAAAUAGAUUAAACAGAUAAGAAGUUCCUCUAGUGGCCCAGGGGCUAGUAUCCAUGAGGACACGGGUUCAAUCCCUGGCCUUGCUCAGUGGGUUAAGGAUCUGUUGUUGCCAUGAGUUGUAGUGUAGGUUGAAGAUGCGGCUUGGAUCCCGUGUUGCUGUGGCUGUGGUGUAGGCUGGCAGCUGCAGCUCUGAUCCAACCCCUAGCCUGGGAACUUCCAUACGCUACAGGUGCCUCCCCUUCCAAAAAAAAGAUAGAAAAUCCAGAGUUCCAUCAUCCUGUUUCAGCACAACUUGGAAGGCUGAGGGAAAAUGCAGGUGAGUCACUGGAGAGUGGAAAAUGGAAAAUAUAUGACCUUAUCUAAAGGUGAAGUAAGGGAGCUGGGGCUGAGUCCUGCUGCCUUGAGUCCUUCCACUGAUGUAAAGACAGGUAGUCCUCCUGCUACUCCAGAAGUUCAUUAGCAAUUUAGUUGCUUGGCAAGGCAGCUCCAUUUCCCCAGGGCCAUGAUACCCAAGAUGCUUGGUGCUGAUGCUGCCAGCUGGCCCACACAAUCUGCUGAGCCCAUAAACCUGUGGUUCCCAGAACUGGAGAUUUCAUCAACCAAUUUUUGGUUUUGUUCUCAACUGGUUAAUUGGUUAUGUAAGACUGCUGAUAUUUUUUCAAGGAAAACAUUUUGUAAACUACCAUCUGAUAUC